This 94-nucleotide transfer RNA is filed under the name Thalassobaculum fulvum. Its description in RNAcentral is "tRNA-Arg". The record is from RNAcentral. Lineage: Bacteria; Pseudomonadati; Pseudomonadota; Alphaproteobacteria; Rhodospirillales; Thalassobaculaceae.
CGGGGCCGCGGUGCUGGCCGGGCUGGCCGCCGUCGAGGCGGUCGGGUCCGGCGAGAUCCGCGGCUUCGGGGUGUUCCGGGCGCUCGGCCCCGAC